This is a long non-coding RNA of Carassius auratus (goldfish), 946 nucleotides long. RefSeq lists it as uncharacterized. The record is from RefSeq and is a predicted model, not a curated record. The transcript is spliced from 3 exons. NCBI's taxonomy places the organism in Eukaryota, Metazoa, Chordata, Actinopteri, Cypriniformes, Cyprinidae.
UCAUCAGGCUUUGGGAUGCCAAGCGGGUGAGUAAAUGAUGAGGACUAGUAAAUAAUCCUGUCCCUUUAAAACUGAAAACGUGCCUGGUGCCACUUCACCUCUGACCUUGACUGAGAGCGGUCAAUUUCACACUGCUAAGCCAAAAUCAGGACUGCGGGCAGAAGAGGAUCCGAUGCUCAGAUCCCGUCUGAGACUCACUCCCACACUAACACGCUCCACCAGAGGCCGGCGUGUAGCAGAGAGAGGUUCUGACCUCCUGAGAGAGCAGAGAGACGCCUGACGCCAGGAGCCAGACCGCGCAUAAUGGGGAACAGGGCUCCUCCAUCUGUCGGACGGAGCAGAGAGAUGCUCGAUGUGAGCAACAUCACAAGAGCAGCUGCUGUCAGGAGCAAAGAUGGAAAGGAAGGGCAGCAAAAGAAAGAGUGGUUCUCCAGGUCAGAGAUGCAGCGAUGGCUUUCUCACACCUGCUGAGGCACCACUCCUCACAAAACCUUUCCCAAGAAAAUAAACGUGAACGGAGACGGCAAGCACAGGCCGCCCAGCAGAGUCCUGACUUCCUCCCAGAGUUCCUGUGAUGCGCAGUGUGUUUCCUGGUAUGAGCAAGAGGGCAUGGGAAAGAACGCUCUGCCCCCUUCCACAACGGUAAACUGAGCUUAAACAAACCCGGGACGGGGCACGGCCGGGACAGAGCACUUCACCUGGCCUCACGCUGUUCUGCUAGCAUCGGCGUCUUUCACGGCUAUCAUAUUCCACACAAUGUCUUACAUCAUACAUCAGCGAAUGUUGUCAAAUCUAUAUCUCUUUUUACCCAGCAUGAAUGUAGUAAUGAAGCUAAACCAGUUGGGGAACAACUGAUCACAUGACGAAGCCUUCAACAGUUGCUUCCCACUUUUUCAGUGGCAUUGGUUCCGGAAGUUUAUUUUUUAUUUAUUUUUUUAUUGCGAUU